ACGAAUUUCAAGUCGGCCUUGCUGUGCUGGUGGAAACACAUGUGCACGCUCGGUCGCAAAUCCACACACCUGUGCAUCUAUGACUCGAGGUUGUCGUCGUAUGACCGAGAGUAACUUUUAUACACUCUUGAAUGUAAAGGAAUGUUCAUGUGCAUAAUGUACAAUUAAA
Molecule: unclassified non-coding RNA, 169 nt
Filed under: uncultured Sebacina
Lineage: Eukaryota; Fungi; Basidiomycota; Agaricomycetes; Sebacinales; Sebacinaceae
Description: sequence contains ITS1
Source: RNAcentral